GAUGAAGAACGCAGUAAAAUGCGAUAAGUAGUGUGAAUUGCAGAAUUCAGUGAAUCAUCGAAUCUUUGAACGCACAUUGCGCCCCUUGGUAUUCCAUGGGGCAUGCCUGUUCGAGCGUCAUUUCAACCAUCAAGCCCCCGGCUUGUGUUGGGGACCUGCGGCUGCCGCAGGCCCUGAAAACCAGUGGCGGGCUAGCUAGUCACUCCGAGCGUAGUAAUACAUCUCGCUCAGGGCGUGCUGCGGGUUCCGGCCGUUAAAAAGCCUUAUUUACCCAAGGUUGACCUCGGAUCAGGUAGGAAGACCCGCUGAACUUAAGCAUAUCAAUAAGCGGAGGA
This 335-nucleotide unclassified non-coding RNA is filed under the name soil metagenome. RNAcentral's name for it is "partial contains 5.8S ribosomal RNA, internal transcribed spacer 2, and large subunit ribosomal RNA". The stretch from base 1 to 120 matches the Rfam family "5.8S ribosomal RNA", at positions 35 to 154 of the family's 154-position model. The record is from RNAcentral.